ACUACGUUCUGACCGAGUAAGCCAACCCUUCAGUCCAAAGCCAUAUGAUACCGUGACGUCACUACGUUCUGACCGAGUAAGCCAACCCUUCAGUCCAAACCCAUAUGAUACCGUGACGUCACUACGUUCUGACCGAGUAAGCCAACCCUUCAUCCAAAAGCCAUAUGUUACCGUGACGUCACUACGUUCUGACCGAGUAAGCCAACCCUUCAGUCCAAAGCCAUAUGUUACCGUGACGUCACUACGUUCUGACCGAGUAAGCCAACCCUUCAGUCCAAAGC
This is a long non-coding RNA of Oncorhynchus keta (chum salmon), 281 nucleotides long. RefSeq lists it as uncharacterized. The transcript is spliced from 2 exons. The record is from RefSeq and is a predicted model, not a curated record. Lineage: Eukaryota; Metazoa; Chordata; Actinopteri; Salmoniformes; Salmonidae.